This 732-nucleotide ribosomal RNA is filed under the name uncultured archaeon. Its description in RNAcentral is "bacterial SSU rRNA". It matches the Rfam family "Archaeal small subunit ribosomal RNA", at positions 325 to 1061 of the family's 1478-position model. The record is from RNAcentral.
ACGGGGUGCAGCAGGCGCGAAACCUUUACAAUGCACGAAAGUGUGAUAAGGGAAUUCCACGUGCAAGCUAUGCUUGCUUUUCUCAAGUCCAAAACGCUUGGGGAAUAAGGGCUGGGCAAGACCCGUGCCAGCCGCCGCGGUAACACGGGCAGCUCGAGUAGCGUUCACGAAUAUUGGGCCUAAAGCGUGCGUAGCUGGCUAGACAAGUUCUUGGUGAAAGCACACGACUCAAUCGUGUGAGUUGCCAGGAAAACUGUCUUGGCUUGGGGCCGGAAAGGGUUGGAGGUAUUCUAGGGGUAGGGGUAAAAUCCUGUGAUCCCUAGAGGACCAACGGUGGCGAAGGCGUCCAACUGGGACGGGCCCGACAGUGAGGCACGAAAGCUAGGGGAGCGACCCGGAUUAGAUACCCGGUUAGUCCUAGCCGUAAAUGAUGCAGGUUUGGUAUUGCAUUCCUUACGAGGGAAUGCAGUGCCGUAGGGAAGCCGUUAAACCUGCCGCCUGGGGAGUACGGCCGCAAGGCUGAAACUUAAAGGAAUUGGCGGGGGAGUACUACAAGGGGUGGAGGCUGCGGUUUAAUUGGAUACAACGCCGGACAACUCACCAGGGAAGACAGCACUAUGAUGGUCAGCCUGAAGGGCUUACUUGAGGCGCUGAGAGGUGGUGCAUGGCCACCGUCAGCUCGUGCAGUGAUGUGUCCUGUUAAGUCAGGCAACGAGCGAGACCCGUGCUUCC